CAGCUCUUUCAAGCAUCAAAGAGGGCAAGACGGUUGAGUUUGAGGAUGGAAGAGAUGCAGAAUUUGACAUCAUCAUCUUUGCUACUGGAUACAACAGCACUGUGCUGAAGUGGCUUAAGGAUUAUAGAGAACUGUUCAACAGUAAUGGAAUGCCAAAACCAGGUUUUCCAAAUCACUGGAAGGGAGAGAAUGGUCUGUACUGCGCUGGAUUUUCAAGAAGGGGAUUAGAUGGCAUUGCUUUUGAUGCACAGCGUAUAGCUGAUGAUAUCAGUAUGACUACAAGUGCAAGAGGUCCCGAUUGUGACGAUGCCAACUUAGCUUCCCUCAAAC
RNAcentral lists this small RNA (330 nucleotides) under Vigna angularis var. angularis. Its description in RNAcentral is "Non-protein coding transcript". The record is from RNAcentral. Lineage: Eukaryota; Viridiplantae; Streptophyta; Magnoliopsida; Fabales; Fabaceae.